AGAGUUUGAUCCUGGCUCAGAAUCAACGCUGGCGGCGUGCCUAACACAUGCAAGUCGAACGCGGUUACCUCGCAAGGGGUAACUGAGUGGCGAACGGGUGAGUAACGCGUGGGUGACCUACCUUCGAGCGGGGGAUAACGUCCCGAAAGGGACGCUAAUACCGCAUAACAUCCUGCCUUUGAACAGGUGGACAUCAAAGCUGGGGAUCGCAAGACCCGGCACUUGAAGAGGGGCCCGCGUCUGAUUAGCUAGUUGGUGAGGUAACGGCUCACCAAGGCGACGAUCAGUAUCCGGCCUGAGAGGGCGGACGGACACACUGGGACUGAGACACGGCCCAGACUCCUACGGGAGGCAGCAGUGGGGAAUUGUUCACAAUGGGCGCAAGCCUGAUGACGCAACGCCGCGUGGAGGAUGAAGGUCUUCGGAUUGUAAACUCCUGUUGCUCGGGACGAAAAGCUUCGACCUAACACGUCGAAGUCUGACGGUACCGGGUGAGGAAGCCCCGGCUAACUCUGUGCCAGCAGCCGCGGUAAUACAGAGGGGGCAAGCGUUGUUCGGAAUUACUGGGCGUAAAGGGCGCGUAGGCGGCCUGUUAAGUCGAACGUGAAAUCCCCGGGCUCAACCCGGGAACUGCGUCCGAUACUGGCAGGCUUGAAUCCGGGAGAGGGAUGUGGAAUUCCAGGUGUAGCGGUGAAAUGCGUAGAUAUCUGGAGGACAC
This 718-nucleotide ribosomal RNA is filed under the name uncultured Acidobacteriota bacterium. RNAcentral describes it as "bacterial SSU rRNA". It matches the Rfam family "Bacterial small subunit ribosomal RNA", at positions 8 to 709 of the family's 1533-position model. The record is from RNAcentral. Lineage: Bacteria; Pseudomonadati; Acidobacteriota.